UACGUAGGGCGCAAGCGUUGUCCGGAAUUAUUGGGCGUAAAGCGCGCGCAGGUGGUGUGGUCAGUCUGUCGUGAAAUCCCCGGGCUUAACCUGGGAAUUGCGAUGGAGACUGCAAGGCUAGAAUCUGGCAGAGGGGGGUAGAAUUCCACGUGUAGCAGUGAAAUGCGUAGAGAUGUGGAGGAACACCGAUGGCGAAGGCAGCCCCCUGGGUCAAGAUUGACGCUCAUGCACGAA
Molecule: ribosomal RNA, 234 nt
Filed under: uncultured bacterium
Lineage: Bacteria
Description: partial 16S ribosomal RNA
Rfam family: Bacterial small subunit ribosomal RNA
Source: RNAcentral